GUUUGUUUUUAUUUAUGCUACCUGUUCAUGUAUAUGUUUACGAUUUAUACAUACAUAUAUUGUUUAUAAACAUAGGUCUUAUAAAUAUGUAAUGGUUUCCUUCAAGGUAAGUUUUGGAUUUCUUUGUUUUAAAUGUAUGCCAUAAUAUGUAUAUCUAUUUAUGCCACGCUGAAUUCGUUAUUUCUUGUUGAAUUCCAAUUUUAUAGUACUUAGCUACAUUUAUAUAAUUUAUAAACCAUCGAAAGUGUUGAAAAAAUCUGGCUUUAGUUUUGUUCUUUCGAGUUACGUACGAAACAUGCAAAAUAAACUACAAAUAAAUAUUUAGGGAAUCCAGUAGGUCCACUCUGAGUCCAGUGUACAAAACGUGUUUGUAUCAGUGGUUAGUUCUUAUUUAUUUUGAUUAAAAAAUGAAGUAGAAAACACGUUAUACAUUGAGUGAGUCAAAACUCUGCUUUCUGGGUUUACAUUCAUAAGGAAUGCUCACUCCCCAAAAUUCAAAACUAGUGUUGAAAUAAACUCAAAACUAUAUAAUUAUAAUCUGUAUAUAUAACAAACGAAUAUGGUUCAGCAAAAAAAAAACAUUUAUGAACUAAACAUUGAAAGAAUUUUUACUUCCUGUUAUUAUUGAAAAGUGCCAUACUGGUUUCUGUUAUUCCAAAACAGAAGUAAACUGUACCUGCCAAAUGAUUUAAUAUAUUUACUUGCUUAACAGUUACAUCUAAUGAAUGUAUAUGUAACUCUUAGAUAAACCAUAUACUUCAUGACGAUAAUGAUUUUUAUUUUAUGAUAUUUUCUAGGUCUAUCAUUAUAACAAGAUAAUGGUAUUUUCAUUUUAAACUUCCCCCAAGGACUACAGAUUGGAAAGAAAAGUAAAGAGAAAAUGGGUAAUCAACCACCAAAAGGGAAAAAUCCCGGCGGCCCAGUUCGUGGAUUAGAGGUACACUUACUAUUCACAAAUCUAACAGUUGCUAUUUGAUUGCAAAAUAAAGGCAAUAUAGUAGUAUGCUGUUGUUCAAUAGUCAUAAAUCGAAACCGAGGGAAACACAUCAACUUUAAGCGGAAAAUAACGGAACAACAGAAACACUGAACUGCUACAUGAAAAAAUGCCAACAUACAUAAAUACCAUAUUCCUGACGCGGAACAAAUGAUGGGUUGAACCUGGUAUAUGGCUAGCCAAACCUGCCGCGUAUAUUGCAAUGUUAAAAAUACCGCAAAAAUGACAACAUUAUGUGACUGGAAUACAGUACAAAUAAACGCAAGAACAAUCAGAAAAAUAAAGGCAACAGUAGUAUACCGCUGUUCAAAACUCGUAAAUCUAUGGACAAAAAACAAAAUCGGGGUAACAAACCAAAACUGAGGGAAACGCAUUAGACAGAAAUACAUUAAUAAAUAAUGUAACAGUACUUUACAACAUGUAAACAACAGAAUAACAACGUAUAAACUUAAGAUUAUUUCCUUUUUUUUCUUGUAAAAAUAUCUACAUACAGGAUUACUUCACUAAAGAAAACACAAUCGUCUGUUUCUGAUUAAAUUGUUAUAUCGAUAUUGCUCACAUUUAAGUCGUCAUUUGGUCUUUGGUGGAGAGUCUCAUUGGCAAUCAUACCGCAUUUUCUCAUUUUUAUAAAUCAAAACCUAAUCUUAACUAUGUUGUGGUUUGUAGAUUUUAGUUUUGUCUUUUGGUAUUUUCUAUUUAUGUGUUCGAAUAUCUUUUUUAUAUCUUCCACCUCUUACUUGCAUCAUUUAUUUGAUUUUAGAUUUUAACACCAUUUAUUGUCAUAAUAUGAAAUAUAUUUUUGAAUUAUUAUAGGGUCUUUUAAAGGAUGCUAUGAGGUUAGCCCAUGUUGCAGUAUCAGGUA
Molecule: long non-coding RNA, 1856 nt
Filed under: Mytilus galloprovincialis (Mediterranean mussel)
Lineage: Eukaryota; Metazoa; Mollusca; Bivalvia; Mytilida; Mytilidae
Source: RNAcentral